Theobroma cacao (cacao) is the source of this 1383-nucleotide non-coding RNA. NCBI's taxonomy places the organism in Eukaryota, Viridiplantae, Streptophyta, Magnoliopsida, Malvales, Malvaceae. The record is from RefSeq and is a predicted model, not a curated record.
GAAUCUUGAUUUUAUAACUCAAAAGAUCCCGUUCGCGGUUCUGAUUUCAUCUUACUGUUAAAAAGAGAACAUAAAUGGGAAAACUUGGUUCUCUUGUCUAGCUGUUUUUCGUCAUCUAAAUUGUUUGAAUAAUUGACAAGAGCAAUGAAAGAGAUGGGAGGGACUAAUGUGCUAAUCCUGACAUUUCUCUUUGUUGUCUGUGCAGCCACCCUGGUUUGGCAAAUCAUCAUCUGUAAGUUGUAAGAAGAAAACAUGUUUUAUUAGUCUCAACAAUGCAUUCAUUUUGUCCAAAUCCAACCCAUAAUUGCCCAAGGAUGGCAUUUUUUCCACAUGAUUAAUCGAAACAAACUUGGGAUUCUGCAAAAGAUGUUGACAUGCUGAUUAUGAUAAAAGGAAAAGAGGGUCAUCAUUAAAGCAAAGACAAGUACAGAAAAAAUGAGGUCAUCCAUGGAAAUCAUGAAUCAGGAAAACAAAAAUGUUACCGCUGAGGACCACAGAAAAAAGAAAAUCGUUUUCCCCAUGUGCUACAAUUGCCGUUUUGCUUCUGGGAAAGCUCGAAAUAAACCAGACAGAUCCACGAAGCUGAUGAGCUACAGAGCUUAGAAUGCAUGUUACUCUUUGCCAAGGAAAUGCUCUCAGGCCUACUUGCUUUGACCAAAAAGAACAAUUAACCACAGGAUCAUUUUAAACGUGAAGCAAAUGUUAAUUUGUAACUCACCAUGAAUUGACAACCUCGACUUUGUCCUGGCUCACCAAAGUUUUAACAGGAAGGUUCUUUGGACGGUGUAAGCUCAACUUGUAGCCGACCCUGUUCAGGUUUUCUUGCCUUCUUUGCUUCCUGUUUGAUGGUUUCAUCUGCCAGGCCGGCACAUAGCUCCCCAAGUCUAUCGGUUCAAGCUUCCUGCUGCAACCAACAGAUAAAGGGGAAGACAAGUGGAAAUUAAUUUAGCUUGAGCAUCCUUUUGCUGGUGGACUUGGCAUGGACCCUGUUGAGAAAUGGUGUGCUACUUGCUGAAAGUGGCACCAAGGCAGAGAGUCAAUAAGGUGUCGUUUUGUAUUUAAGACUUAUGUUGUCCUUUGAUGUUGUUCUGCUAUCGUUUUGAUCUCGAGUUUAUUUACGUAGUGUUGUAUUUCCUUUACUAUUGAAAUUUAUUGUUUUUCCAAUUGUUAGGGAUUUUACUUUCCGUUCCUCCUUCAAAAUAUGUUGUUAUGCUUGGUGUCUAUUGUCUGUUAUGUGGCAGGGUAUCUAUCACAGAUCCCUAUGCUUCUAGAAUAUAGGAUAUCAGCUCAAGUGGGUGUGUUCAACUGGUGCUGGUAAAUUUGGUUAUCCUCCAUUGUAUAUAUUGCUCUGUUACUUAAUGAAAAAUGAGCUUUUCUCUUCCA